CCUACGGGGUGCACCAGUGGGGAAUAUUGCACAAUGGGCGCAAGCCUGAUGCAGCCAUGACGCGUGUGUGAAGAAGGCCUUCAGGUUGUAAAGCACUUUCAGCGGGGAGGAAGGCGGUGAGAUUAAUACUCUCACCGAUUGACGUUACCCGCAGAAGAAGCACCGGCUAACUCCGUGCCAGCAGCCGCGGUAAUACGGAGGGUGCAAGCGUUAAUCGGAAUGACUGGGCGUAAAGCGCACGCAGGCGGUUUGUUAAGUCAGAUGUGAAAUCCCCGAGCUUAACUUGGGAACUGCAUUUGAAACUGGCAAGCUAGAGUCUUGUAGAGGGGGGUAGAAUUCCAGGUGUAGCGGUGAAGUGCGUAGAGAUCUGGAGGAAUACCGGUGGCGAAGGCGGCCCCCUGGACAAAGACUGACGCUCAGGUGCGAAAGCGUGGGAGCAAACAGGAUUAGAUACCCCUGUAGUC
RNAcentral lists this ribosomal RNA (464 nucleotides) under uncultured bacterium. RNAcentral describes it as "bacterial SSU rRNA". It matches the Rfam family "Bacterial small subunit ribosomal RNA", at positions 338 to 795 of the family's 1533-position model. The record is from RNAcentral.